RNAcentral lists this ribosomal RNA (543 nucleotides) under uncultured bacterium. RNAcentral's name for it is "bacterial SSU rRNA". It matches the Rfam family "Bacterial small subunit ribosomal RNA", at positions 159 to 698 of the family's 1533-position model. The record is from RNAcentral.
CCGUCUAAUACCGCAUAAUACAAUUUGGAGACAUCUCCGGGUUGUCAAAGGAGUGAUCCGGCAGAGGAUGGACAUGCGGCGCAUUAGCUAGUCGGCGGGGUAACGGCCCACCGAGGCUACGAUGCGUAGGGGUUCUGAGAGGAAGGUCCCCCACACUGGUACUGAGACACGGACCAGACUCCUACGGGAGGCAGCAGUGAGGAAUAUUGGUCAAUGGGCGGAAGCCUGAACCAGCCAAGUCGCGUGAGGGAAGACGGUCCUAUGGAUUGUAAACCUCUUUUGCAGGGGAGCAAGGCGCGGUACGUGUACCGCGAAGGAGAGUACCCUGAGAAAAAGCAUCGGCUAACUCCGUGCCAGCAGCCGCGGUAAUACGGAGGAUGCGAGCGUUAUCCGGAUUUAUUGGGUUUAAAGGGUGCGCAGGCGGACUGUUAAGUCAGCGGUAAAAUGUCGGUGCUCAACACCGGCCGGCCGUUGAAACUGGCAGCCUUGAGUGAGCGAGAAGUAUGCGGAAUGCGUGGUGUAGCGGUGAAAUGCAUAGAUAUC